GAUGAACGCUGGCGGCGUGCCUAACACAUGCAAGUCGAGCGAAGCAUUUAACAUGAAGUUUUCGGACGGAAUGUUAUCUGACUGAGCGGCGGACGGGUGAGUAACGCGUGGGUAACCUGCCUUAUACAGGGGGAUAACAGUUAGAAAUGACUGCUAAUACCGCAUAAGCGCACAGUACCGCAUGGUACAGUGUGAAAAACUCCGGUGGUAUAAGAUGGACCCGCGUCUGAUUAGCCAGUUGGCGGGGUAACGGCCCACCAAAGCGACGAUCAGUAGCCGACCUGAGAGGGUGACCGGCCACAUUGGGACUGAGACACGGCCCAA
RNAcentral lists this ribosomal RNA (324 nucleotides) under uncultured bacterium. RNAcentral's name for it is "bacterial SSU rRNA". It matches the Rfam family "Bacterial small subunit ribosomal RNA", at positions 28 to 334 of the family's 1533-position model. The record is from RNAcentral.